GCCUAUUGAGGUUUUUGAAUUUGCCCCACUGCCCACUCGGAGAUUUUACCCCCCUCAAACAGAAACACAAUUCCCCUUUGGCACCCUCUCUCACCAUAGAGAGAGGUAGCGGUAGAAUACGAAGAGGUGCCACAACCCCACUCUCUCUCACACACACACAGUGAGGAGGAAUUUCUCUGCCUUUUUACACCAUAGUUUCUGGUAAAUCUCUGAAAAAUCCUUUCUCUUUAACUUGUAUUUACAUACCCUUUGAACUGUAAUCCACAGAUAAAAACACUGAAACAAAAUAAAUCAAACAUCCUUUUUGUUGCUUUUAUUCUUAUGGGGGAGACUUUUUUUCUGGUAUUUUUUAAUUACUAGAUGAUGAUAUUAAUUAAUUAGAAUGAAAUUCAAAAUGUUUAGUACACUUGCAACCUAGUUUAACUUAAACUCCAAGCUUUAUCCCCCUCUUCAUUGCAAAAGCUAAUUUCUUUUUUACUUACUGUGUUAAUUAGAUCAUUGUGCUUGUGUGUGUCACCAGUUAUAUAUGAAUGCACUAUGAAUUCAAGCUUCUUUUUCGUCAACUUGACUAUACACAGUGUGUGUGUGUGUGUAUAAUGUUCUGUUGAGUGUAUUUGGUUUGAAUUCGACUCUUGAACACUUUUGAUUUUAAAAAAUACUUACAUAAUCAGGUCAUUAAAAAGCUAAUCACAAGUAAAUGUCGAUGAUAAGUACAUAGUUGUAACCUGAAAAAUAUUCUAGCUAACCUUUUUUUUUUGUAAGAUUGAUGUCCAAGCCAGCUUGCAUGCGCCUCGAUUGUUUCACCGCAUAUAUGUUGCCUCCCACCAGCACAAUUAUCAAAUAGCAC
This 847-nucleotide long non-coding RNA is filed under the name Nicotiana tabacum (common tobacco). RNAcentral describes it as "long non-coding RNA (NTAB_LNC006514)". Lineage: Eukaryota; Viridiplantae; Streptophyta; Magnoliopsida; Solanales; Solanaceae. The record is from RNAcentral.